CAACAACGGAUCUCUUGGCUCUCGCAUCGAUGAAGAACGCAGCGAAAUGCGAUACGUAAUGUGAAUUGCAGAAUUCAGUGAAUCAUCGAAUCUUUGAACGCACCUUGCGCCCCUUGGCAUUCCGAGGGGCACACCCGUUUGAGUGUCGUGACAUCCU
This 157-nucleotide ribosomal RNA is filed under the name Russula fuegiana. RNAcentral's name for it is "5.8S ribosomal RNA". It matches the Rfam family "5.8S ribosomal RNA". Rfam says of the family: 5.8S ribosomal RNA (5.8S rRNA) is a component of the large subunit of the eukaryotic ribosome. It is transcribed by RNA polymerase I as part of the 45S precursor that also contains 18S and 28S rRNA. Lineage: Eukaryota; Fungi; Basidiomycota; Agaricomycetes; Russulales; Russulaceae. The record is from RNAcentral.